UAGGGAAUCUUCCACAAUGGACGAAAGUCUGAUGGAGCAACGCCGCGUGAACGAUGAAGGCCUUCGGGUCGUAAAGUUCUGUUGUAAGGGAAGAACAAGUGCCGCAGGCAAUGGCGGCACCUUGACGGUACCUUGCGAGAAAGCCACGGCUAACUACGUGCCAGCAGCCGCGGUAAUACGUAGGUGGCAAGCGUUGUCCGGAAUUAUUGGGCGUAAAGCGCGCGCAGGCGGCCUCUUAAGUCUGAUGUGAAAGCCCCCGGCUCAACCGGGGAGGGCCAUUGGAAACUGGGAGGCUUGAGUAUAGGAGAGAAGAGUGGAAUUCCACGUGUAGCGGUGAAAUGCGUAGAGAUGUGGAGGAACACCAAUGGCGAAGGCGACUCUUUGGCCUAUAACUGACGCUGAGGCGCGAAAGCGUGGGGAGCAAACAGGAUUAGAUACCCUGGUAGUCCACGCCGUAAACGAUGAGUGCUAGGUGUUGGAGGGUUUCCGCCCUUCAGUGCUGAAGCUAACGCAUUAAGCACUCCGCCUGGGGAGUACGGUCGCAAGGCUG
Molecule: ribosomal RNA, 550 nt
Filed under: uncultured bacterium
Lineage: Bacteria
Description: bacterial SSU rRNA
Rfam family: Bacterial small subunit ribosomal RNA
Source: RNAcentral